Molecule: long non-coding RNA, 440 nt
Organism: Piliocolobus tephrosceles (Ugandan red Colobus)
Lineage: Eukaryota; Metazoa; Chordata; Mammalia; Primates; Cercopithecidae
Exons: 4
Source: RefSeq, a predicted model, not a curated record
AAACAGAAAAGGAAAGGUCCCAUUAUCAAGACCUCCAAGGACAAGAACCAGUGAAGCCUGGGCCAUUGUGAGGAGUGAGUGAGCUAAUGCAUGCUCACCUCAUGGUGGGAGCAAGCCAUUGCCUCCCUCUCAGAGGACCUGGUGGAGAGAAGGUUGACAGCUUGGCAUUCCUCUGUAGAAUGGCUUUUGACUUUGCACUGCCAUCCACAGAAGAGCUCCCUAACCUCACCCGAGGGCACGGAAUGGCCUUUCCUUAAAGGUGAAGCACAGCAUCAUUCUCAAGUGCCUUUGCAAAUAACGAAGACCGAACUGGUCAUUUACCCAGGCUGAGCCAGACCUAUAUGAUACAUCAAAAGCAGAACAGAAAGAAAGGGAAUGAGAGAAUCCAAAUGAGUUUAUUUGUCCAUUAAAUAAAUAAGCAAAAUUAUGCAGAUGUGGAA